RNAcentral lists this ribosomal RNA (894 nucleotides) under uncultured Bacteroidota bacterium. Its description in RNAcentral is "bacterial SSU rRNA". It matches the Rfam family "Bacterial small subunit ribosomal RNA", at positions 9 to 894 of the family's 1533-position model. Lineage: Bacteria; Pseudomonadati; Bacteroidota. The record is from RNAcentral.
UACUUUGAUCCUGGCUCAGGAUGAACGCUAGCUACAGGCUUAACACAUGCAAGUCGAGGGGCAGCAUGGACCCAGCUUUGCUGGGUUUGAUGGCGACCGGCGCACGGGUGAGUAACGCGUAUCCAACCUGCCCUAUACUCCGGGAUAGUCUCCUGAAAGGGAGUUUAAUACCGGAUGUGUUUGUCUUUCCGCAUGGGAGCGACAAAUAAAGAUUAAUUGGUAAAGGAUGGGGAUGCGUCCCAUUAGCUUGUUGGCGGGGUAACGGCCCACCAAGGCGACGAUGGGUAGGGGUUCUGAGAGGAAGGUCCCCCACAUUGGAACUGAGACACGGUCCAAACUCCUACGGGAGGCAGCAGUGAGGAAUAUUGGUCAAUGGGUGGGAGCCUGAACCAGCCAAGUAGCGUGAAGGACGACGGCCCUACGGGUUGUAAACUUCUUUUAUAAGGGAAUAAAGUUCGCCACGUGUGGUGUUUUGUAUGUACCUUAUGAAUAAGCAUCGGCUAAUUCCGUGCCAGCAGCCGCGGUAAUACGGAAGAUGCGAGCGUUAUCCGGAUUUAUUGGGUUUAAAGGGAGCGUAGGCGGGCUUUUAAGUCAGCGGUCAAAUGUCGUGGCUCAACCAUGUCAAGCCGUUGAAACUGUAAGCCUUGAGUCUGCACAGGGCACAUGGAAUUCGUGGUGUAGCGGUGAAAUGCUUAGAUAUCACGAAGAACUCCGAUCGCGAAGGCAUUGUGCCGGGGCAUAACUGACGCUGAGGCUCGAAAGUGCGGGUAUCAAACAGGAUUAGAUACCCUGGUAGUCCGCACGGUAAACGAUGAAUGCUCGCUAUGGGCGAUAUAUUGUCCGUGGCCAAGCGAAAGCGUUAAGCAUUCCACCUGGGGAGUACGCCGGCAACGG